UACAGAGGGUGCGAGCGUUAAUCGGAAUUACUGGGCGUAAAGCGUGCGUAGACGGUAGCGUAAGUCAGAUGUGAAAGCCCCGGGCUCAACCUGGGAAUUGCAUUUGAGACUGCUCUGCUUGGGUGCGGAAGAGGGAAGCGGAAUUUCCGGUGUAGCGGUGAAAUGCGUAGAUAUCGGAAGGAACACCAGUGGCGAAAGCGGCUUCCUGGUCCGACACCGACGUUCAGGCACGAAAGCGUGGGGAGCGAACAGG
Molecule: ribosomal RNA, 253 nt
Filed under: uncultured bacterium
Lineage: Bacteria
Description: partial 16S ribosomal RNA
Rfam family: Bacterial small subunit ribosomal RNA
Source: RNAcentral